This 71-nucleotide transfer RNA is filed under the name Staphylinidae sp. BMNH 1274658. RNAcentral's name for it is "tRNA-Ser". The record is from RNAcentral. Lineage: Eukaryota; Metazoa; Arthropoda; Insecta; Coleoptera; Staphylinidae.
UUAAUUACUGAACUUGAACAAGUUUAUAUUUUGAAAAUAUACUAUAGAAGUUCACACCCUUCUAGUAAUUU